Molecule: long non-coding RNA, 466 nt
Organism: Chelonoidis abingdonii (Abingdon island giant tortoise)
Lineage: Eukaryota; Metazoa; Chordata; Testudines; Testudinidae
Source: RefSeq, a predicted model, not a curated record
GCCAUCUUGCUGGGCGGUUGCUUUGCAGCCACCUCUGGUGUGGGGCAUUUGAAUGCUACAGGAGCAGGGGAGAAACGGGAAAUUGGGGAGAGAAACACACAAGCCUUUAUCGUUCGGAUCAGCGGGCCUGAUCCCACCAGUGCUGCGGCUGAAAAAGCCAGCCGGAUUCCACUCUGCCGUACGCAUCGGCGCCAGGACUGGCUCAAGACUCUGAUGAAGCAGUACGGCCGCACCCCUGCGAGGGUUGGCUCAGAGAAUGGCAUUAUAUGGAUUUUUACUUCGAAGAGACCCCCGGGUCAAAGAGGAUUGGCAGGCUCAGGGAAUGGGACAUGAGGCCUUCUGAACUUGGGAUGGACUCAAGGCAGAAGGAAAACGUCUUCCAGUGGGCAACAGAAACAAGAGGACAACGGAAAGCACAGCAGGAAAGCCUAGCUUCUCUCCCUAUUUUGAAAGGCACAUCAUAAAU